AGAGUUUGAUCCUGGCUCAGAACAAACGCUGGCGGCAUGCUUAACACAUGCAAGUCGAACGAGAAAAUCUUCUUCGGAAGGUUAGUAAAGUGGCAGACGGGUGAGUAACACGUAAGAAUCUGCCCUCGGGACAGGGAUAACAUUCUGAAAGGAAUGCUAAUACCUGAUAAUGUUCACGAACCAAAGAGGGCUUCGGCCCUCACCUGGGGAGGAGCUUGCGUCCCAUUAGCUUGUUGGUAGGGUAAUGGCCUACCAAGGCUACGAUGGGUAGCCGGCCUGAGAGGGUGUACGGCCACACUGGAACUGAGACACGGUCCAGACUCCUACGGGAGGCAGCAGUGGGGAAUAUUGGUCAAUGGGCGAAAGCCUGAACCAGCAAUGCCGUGUGGGUGAUGAAGCUUUUCGGAGCGUAAAGCCCUUUUGAGAGGGAAGAAAUGCAGAAUGAGGAUAAUGCUUUCUGUUUGACGGUACCUCUCGAAUAAGCCCCGGCUAACUCCGUGCCAGCAGCCGCGGUAAUACGGAGGGGGCAAGCGUUGUUCGGAAUCACUGGUCGUAAAGGGCGCGUAGGCGGCUUUAUGAGUCAGAUGUGAAAUCCCUAGGCUCAACCUAGGAAUUGCGUUUGAUACCAUAUUGCUUGAGGCCGGGAGAGGGAAGCGGAAUUCCUGGUGUAGCGGUGAAAUGCGUAGAUAUCAGGAGGAACACCGGUGGCGAAGGCGGCUUCCUGGACCGGAUCUGACGCUAAUGCGCGAAAGCGUGGGUAGCAAACGGGAUUAGAUACCCCGGUAGUCCACGCUGUAAACGAUGAGCACUAGGUGCAGCGGGUAUCGACCCCUGCUGUGCCGUAGCUAACGCAAUAAGUGCUCCGCCUGGGGAGUACGGUCGCAAGACUGAAACUCAAAGGAAUUGACGGGGGCCCGCGCAAGCGGUGGAGUAUGUGGUUUAAUUCGAUGCAACGCGAAAAACCUUACCGGGGCUUGACAUGUUCUUGACCGGUAUUGAAAGAUACUUUCCCUUCGGGGCAGGAUCACAGGUGCUGCAUGGCUGUCGUCAGCUCGUGUCGUGAGAUGUUGGGUUAAGUCCCGCAACGAGCGCGACCCCUACCCUUAGUUGCCAUCAGUCUGCUGGGAACUCUAGGGGAACUGCCGGUGAUAAACCGGAGGAAGGUGGGGAUGACGUCAAGUCCUCAUGGCCCUUACGUCCCGGGCUACACACGUACUACAAUGGUCGGUACAAAGAGUCGCAAAGCCGUGAGGUAGAGCUAAUCUCAAAAAAACCGGCCUCAACUCGGAUUGGAGUCUGCAACUCGACUCCAUGAAGUUGGAAUCGCUAGUAAUCGCGGAUCAGCAUGCCGCGGUGAAUACGUUCCCGGGCCUUGUACACACCGCCCGUCACACCACGAAAGUUGGUUGCACUAGAAGUCGUCGGGCUAACCCGCAAGGGAAGCAGGCGCCUAAGGUGUGAUCAAUGAUUGGGGUGAAGCCGUAACAAGGUA
This 1492-nucleotide ribosomal RNA is filed under the name metagenome. RNAcentral's name for it is "bacterial SSU rRNA". It matches the Rfam family "Bacterial small subunit ribosomal RNA". The record is from RNAcentral.